Molecule: unclassified non-coding RNA, 40 nt
Filed under: synthetic construct
Description: IRES RNA 40-MER from synthetic construct (PDB 2NBZ, chain A)
Source: RNAcentral
GGGCUCGGUGCACAUGCUUUACAUGUGUUUAGUCGAGCCC